RNAcentral lists this ribosomal RNA (694 nucleotides) under Serratia marcescens. RNAcentral's name for it is "bacterial SSU rRNA". It matches the Rfam family "Bacterial small subunit ribosomal RNA", at positions 35 to 719 of the family's 1533-position model. The record is from RNAcentral. Lineage: Bacteria; Pseudomonadati; Pseudomonadota; Gammaproteobacteria; Enterobacterales; Yersiniaceae.
CCUGGCGGCGGCUUACACAUGCAAGUCGAGCGGUAGCACAAGGGUAGCUUGCUCCCUGGGUGACGAGCGGCGGACGGGUGAGUAAUGUCUGGGAAACUGCCUGAUGGAGGGGGAUAACUACUGGAAACGGUAGCUAAUACCGCAUAACGUCGCAAGACCAAAGAGGGGGACCUUCGGGCCUCUUGCCAUCAGAUGUGCCCAGAUGGGAUUAGCUAGUAGGUGGGGUAAUGGCUCACCUAGGCGACGAUCCCUAGCUGGUCUGAGAGGAUGACCAGCCACACUGGAACUGAGACACGGUCCAGACUCCUACGGGAGGCAGCAGUGGGGAAUAUUGCACAAUGGGCGCAAGCCUGAUGCAGCCAUGCCGCGUGUGUGAAGAAGGCCUUCGGGUUGUAAAGCACUUUCAGCGAGGAGGAAGGUGGUGAACUUAAUACGCUCAUCAAUUGACGUUACUCGCAGAAGAAGCACCGGCUAACUCCGUGCCAGCAGCCGCGGUAAUACGGAGGGUGCAAGCGUUAAUCGGAAUUACUGGGCGUAAAGCGCACGCAGGCGGUUUGUUAAGUCAGAUGUGAAAUCCCCGGGCUCAACCUGGGAACUGCAUUUGAAACUGGCAAGCUAGAGUCUCGUAGAGGGGGGUAGAAUUCCAGGUGUAGCGGUGAAAUGCGUAGAGAUCUGGAGGAAUACCGGUGGCGAA